Molecule: long non-coding RNA, 4286 nt
Organism: Chroicocephalus ridibundus (black-headed gull)
Lineage: Eukaryota; Metazoa; Chordata; Aves; Charadriiformes; Laridae
Exons: 3
Source: RefSeq, a predicted model, not a curated record
CGGGGCGGGGCCCGGGGCGGGGGCAGCCGUUGAGGGUCGCGCGCUUCUCCCCCCUCCCUCAGCCGCUCCUUCUGAGGUGAGGGCGUCGCGGUCUGCCUUCUCCCCACAGCGGAGGGAUGGGGGGGUACCGAGGCUCCCGCUGCCCUCCUGGGGUCUUUAUCACCCGCCCCGGGAGAGGAGAAGGGAGGCCGUGAGCGGGGAAGCAAGAGCGUUUCGUUCGGACUGUGGAGGUACCAGCCCAGCAGGCAGGGCCACCCCGGUGAGGUGAGGGGAAGCGGCCGCCGUCUGCUAUCGUGCCGGUUCCUACCGCCAGGAACUGCCAUUUGCUCCCUGGGUAGUCCUAGCCCCGAAGGAAGCACCUUGCAUCCAAGAAAAAUUAUUCCUGCCUGGAGACAUAAAAUAAUUUCUCAGUAACCUCCAGCUUCCUGACUGUUGCAAUACCAAGGACAUCAAGUGAUAGACUUCCUUACAAAGUGUAUGUAUCAACUUAGGCCGGCACAAGAAGAAUUCUUAAGACUGGGCUGAAAGAACCAGUGUUUACUCAAGGCCUCUGAUUUGACACAGGAAAGUCUUAAAACAUAGCACAAUUUGGAUGAUCCCUGGACUUAAACCCAUGAACAGAAAAAGAUAACGGAGCUAUCAGGACCUAUCAUGAGAGCCAAAUUGAGAGAAAAUACCUAAGAAUACCAUAUACAAGCAAAAUCAGAGUGGAUCUAGAAUGAGGGAAGGCAGAGGUACACAAUGCCAUGAAGGAGUUAUAUAUUGGGUACUCUAAUGUAAAGAAGAGAUGAGCACUUCUUUUCAAAAGAGGAAUCAGAAAUUUAUUGAGGAUAUUGUGGCAUCAUUCCUCUAAAUCCCUUAUGCUCCAUUGUCCUCUGUGUUUCUCAGUGGUACCCCCCUGCACAUACUUGUUUUCUUUCUACAUCCCAAUGAUGAUGAAGUCCCGCCUGUCUAAGCUUGUCUCCCAGGCUCAGCAUCUCUAUUUGACCAUGAGCAAAGCUGUCACAGUGGCAAGCAUUGCAAGAAAAAUAUUCUGCCUCUCUUUUUUUUUGUCUGGGAAAACAAGGUGUAAGAACUUACUCAAGGUAUUUUCCUGACGCUGCUACUGUGAAGGCUGCAGGGUGAAGGCUAAUGUUCCUCCCCUGCACCACCAAGAAAUGCAUGUUCCAGCAUCAGAGUGAAAAGCAGGAUCAGAAAAAAAGUAUAAGACCGUCACUCAAAAAUUGCAGGAGAAAAAUUAGAGGGCUUCCUUCCACUUGUGUAGUUUUUAUGUAGACAGUGGAGGCUGGCGUGAAACAUCUGUGUGAGACAGGUGGAAAGGGGAACUUGCUGCUUCCUAGAAGUCCCAUGGUUGAGGAAGUUUUGUGAGAUAGCUUGACUUCAGGGAGUUUCAAAAUGUGUAAUUGAGAUGUGUGGCCCUGGGUAUGUGGUACAUGUGGUACAUCUGAUGCAAAAUAAGCUCCGUGUGAGAAUAUACUGGAGAUGUGAGGAACUCCAGCACCAGCUGUUUACAGCUGUCAGUCUACUCAUGCUGCUCCAAGUGAAUUGCUAAAGUAAACACAGCUUAUGCUGGUUUAUUCACUGCUUGCAGACAGAACAAAAACUGUAAUAGUUUGUGAUGCACCAUAAUUUUCCAGGAAAAUAUAUUCCAUAGCACUCUGAAAGCAAAAAUACUGUAUUUAAAUGAGAUUCACAGCAGUAUGUUUUAUUGACUUUGAGAGACAGAUUCAGAAAAAGAGGGUUGCCAGGCUGAGACUAAUAGCUGCAUUCAACAUACUGAAAUUUACACUAGUUUACAUUUUAAGUAAGAACUCCAUCUGUAGGGGGAAAAUAGCACUUAAACACACAUUACUUUAUUGUAUAGUGCCACCUAGGGGUUAAAAGCUUUUAAACUUCAGAGUGGCAAAGGUUAGGAAGCCCUAUUUAAUAGCAGUGAAAGUAUUUCUUACAUUAAAUCAUUUGUAUUUUGAAAUUUGCUGGGCAAACAAAGUGCUGCUGAGAUUUCCAUACUGUUGUAUAUGGCAAAAGAAUUGUAACUUCCACAGUUCCCUUUGGAGCUGGACACGCUUUUCUCUCUUUCAUAGUCUGGCAGUGAUUGGGGAAGUUGCAAAUCCUGAUUUUCUCCUCUACUAGCCAGGUCUUGCUGGUAUGAUCAGUGGAGAGGUUAUCUGCUGCUGCAAGGCCGGGUAGGAGAUUGCUGUGUUGUUGGGUUUGAGUCUGCAAGAACUUAAAAUAGAGCCUUGAAAAGUUUGCUUUGUGAGGCAGAGAGGAAACCCUGGCCUACUUCUACUUAAUCUAGCCUAGUACAGGAAGGUACUAUACAAGGGAGGAAUGAGAUGCUGUGACUAUUCUCUGUCUGUGAGCAGGUAUGCCUUAUUCCUCCUGAAACUUCCCCCCUUCUCCCUUGCACAUUACGAAUUCCAGUUGGCUCCUUUUGGCUUCUUUUGAUUUAGCUUAGAAAUGGGCAAAAGAAACCUAGAAAAACCUGUGCGUCUCUGAACCAUGUUUGGUUUUUUUUCAAACUGACUUUUGGUUUAAAAGCCUGAAUUGUGGUCAGUUCUUUCCUGAAAAAACAAAACUCCAGAAGAGGUAGUAUUUUAGAAGGAUUUUUUUUCACACGCUUUUUUUAUUCUUUCAAAUGGUAUUUGAUUUUUUUCUGUAUCUUCCACAGCAGAUGGCGUACCUGCCUCACUGAGACCAGAGAUUCUUUCUGUGAUCUGCUCACUUGGCAAGGUCUGUUCCACCUCAGGCAGAAUGCAAAUUAUAGAUACAUGUAGUCAAGAAACUCUCUCCCCUGUCCUUAGAGGAAGGUAGUGAUUCUAUCACGGUAUUUUUCAAGGAAAAAUGUCAAUAACAUUUUUGAUUGCAUGGCUGUAUGCUUGAACUGUAAUGCUAAUGAAGGGCAUAUCUCUCUUCCCUUCCUUCAGCACCCUCCACACAUAGGCAAUUAAGAUUUGAUUAUUAAUAAGAAGGAGGGGAAAACCUGAUUUUAUUUGUCUUAAGUUCCUUUUUAAAAUAAUUCAUACUGAAAAAAAAAAAAGGCCAGCUAACAAAAAUUGCUUUGUCUGUCCCUUAGAAAUGGAAAAAAAAAUCAUUUAUCUUGGAACUACAAGCCACAAACAUGGCAAAAUGACACUGGAAGAUACACCAAAGAGUGCUGUAAGUACCCCUCAGGUAAACAAGCCCUGCGGUAAAAUCGUAGUGUGACAGAUAAAGCAAACUCUUAUGACUGUCCUCUACAUGUCAUGAUGUAGAAGAGAUGAGGAGCUGGAUACCAGGGCUGCCGUACUUAAAGCUGAAUGAGCUUUGACAAAAUUAUUAAAGAAAAAUGACAGGAGGGAAUAGUAAAUUCAUUGUGGUGCCCACCUUGAUGCGGAAUACUCCGGAACAAGCAGACUACUGCUUAGAUACUGGCAGUAAACUCUGUACCAAGCCUGAGAGAGAGGCAGACGUACAUUCACAUCAGGUCCGCAUUAGACAUCCGUGCUCCGUCGCUCAGGGUGGAUUUCUGGUGACUUUCUUAUUUUGAUAAAAGUCAUAGAGAAUAUGAAGUUACACCAGUAGUACAGUGCUUUUGCCUUUAUAGGUCCUAUUGCUUACCAAAACAGCAUGAUUUUUACAUAUAUUUAUGUAUCUAUGGGUAUAUAAAUACACAUAAAAAUAAAUAAAUAAAUAAAAUGCCAGCAUAAAUAAAUAAUUACACCAGUAAAUAUAUACACAUUAGGAGGGCUUGCUAUUACAACUUUAUUGGCAGAUAUUCUCGGAUACAUACAUGGCCCAAUGGUCUGGGCCAGCAGCUCUUUCUCACAAAAGAUAUAACAAAUUCAGAGACUUGGAAUAAGAUACUUAUGAAUAAGGAUUGCAGGAUUCUCUCAUAUAUCUAUCUGUCUAAAAGAAAGUCUGACGAUGAGUGUUUAGUGAAGAGGAAUUGGAGAAGUGUUGAUUAAUAGAAGUCAUUAAACAUAAUUUGGAGCAUUCAGAAUUUCAAUUACAAAAUAAAAAGAACCAUCUUGCUCUUGAAAUUCCUGAAAUCAUGUUUUCAGAAUCUUUCAUUUUACAGGGCCUGGCUCAUUAAAAGCUGCAAUGGUUUAAAGGUGUUCAGUGCUGAUGUGCCUAAAUGUCUGUUUCUUUCCAACUGUACCCCUCUGUUAAACAAAGUAUCACCUUUCCUUACAAACCUUUCCUCUCUGAGGUGCCUGACAGUAGAGUCAGGGAAAACAUCGUAGCUGGAGACCUACUCCAAGAAGAAAUCCUACUUCUACUAAAUGGCUUUUGCCAUCGACUUC